This is a long non-coding RNA of Acanthopagrus latus (yellowfin seabream), 1933 nucleotides long. RefSeq lists it as uncharacterized. Lineage: Eukaryota; Metazoa; Chordata; Actinopteri; Spariformes; Sparidae. The record is from RefSeq and is a predicted model, not a curated record. The transcript is spliced from 4 exons.
GUUAUUCCAGGGUUGGGAAUCUUCCGAAGCAAAAAAACAAUCAUUCGACCGCAGCAUCGUGGCUCUCUGAGCGUCCAUGGUCCUCUCAGUCAUGCUGGCUCAGACUCUCCUCACAUAGAAAUCUGUUUUUAAGGACAGCACUUCUACACACAGGUGAUCUCCAUUCAACUAAUUGUGUGCUGUUAAAAACAUUAUUGGCCUCACUAGUGCUGAUUUUAUGUCGGCACAGGGGGCUUACGCAAUCAAUCAUUUCGUGUUCUCUGUUUGUUCCUAAUUCAGAUCAGCAUGUGGAGCUUUGUUUUCACACCGCAGUGAAUCGUCCUCUUUGCUGAUCAGCUUUGUUUAGAUGGAACAACUCAGUCAUGAGGAGACUCAGCGCUGCAGAAGUUACUUCAGGCCACUGUGCGUUCAGCUUCGUGUGAUACUAAGCUGUGAGGAGAGCAGCGCUGGAGCUGAACGCUCCUCGAAACAAAGCACCUGUCCUGCCCGAGUGUUGACCUUUGACCUUGUCUUUUCAAAAAGGGAGAUUUCCUGAAUCAUGACAAACAGCUGUUGUGGCUCCUGCUGUAUAUUUAAAGGUGGCGCCGCCCUCCCUACCUCCAACUACAGGCCCAACAGUGCUCAAUGUAUCAAAGGUACUUUUAAAAACACUGCAACUACAAUUACACGUGUGAUAUUUCACAAUUUUAUUUACAUAACUUAAAAAAUGUCAUUUACAGUGUUCCAACAGAUUAAAAUGACCCGACACUGAAAACAGAAAAUAUUUACAUGAAGUGAGAGAUGAGUGCAAAAAUCUUACAGCGUUCGAACGUGGAGAUCUUUUUUUUUUUUUUUUUAAAGAUGUGAAGAAUGAUGAUGUUUGAGGAAAAAUAUCAGCUGCAUUCACAGGAUAUCUCCAGUAUCUCCAACACAGGAAACCACGAGUAACUGCAGUUUGCUAGUGCAAUGCAUUUUAAGUGUCGCAGUGUUUUUUUUAUACACAAACAUGAGACGGUGAGAGAUUAUUAACUGUGCAUUUGGCAAAAUAUCUGACUACACGUUACAGUGAAAGAUGACAGAAACCAGUUUCACCUGCACUUCUUCCUGUUUCUCUACCAGCUUCAGUUUCCACAUGCAGCAGCUGUUGUGCAUCUGUCUGUAUAACACGUGAGCAUUAACAGCAAACUUUUAAUUUCCAACAUUUGACUGAACUUUUGUAAAGUAAUGUGUCAUGUAUAUUGACCUCAGUAAGCCUGCACAGUUGACUCAACGUACAGACAAAAUAAAGUAAAAACAGUUGGAAUCAUCCACAAGAACAGCUAUCUGUUGUCAGUGAGAACCCCAGCACAUUUUCAUGCUUAUUUCAUAUACAUAUAUAAAACCUCUCUAUUGUCUAUUGUCUAGUGCCACCAUAAAAAGCUACGUAGCCAUGGUAACCAUCUGACCCCAAAUAAUUCAUUUACCUUGCGAUAAAGGGGAAAGCUGCACGGCUCCCAGAUGACAGGAUGUCUGUGAAAGCACCGCUCCACAGGAAACCAAACCUAUCUAUAUAUCAGCAUGACGGAGCCAAACCACCAGUUAAGUCAAACCGACUAGAAAGACGUAAUUACUGGCUUCUCGUCGCCCUGCACAGCUCCAUCUGCAGAAUCUCAACAGGAGACGGCGGCAGAGUGAUUGGGAUUGAUCUGAUGGUUGUGUGGGUAGAGUCAUCGUUGGUGUAAUGAAGACAACACUUCCUGCCUGUUAGCAGAUGGGAUGAGGACGUGUUGCACAGUGAGCUUGGGCAGGCAAACGUGCUAUGAACCACGGUAUCUCAGAUAUUCUAUCUUGGAGAGCGAAGCGGUGUGAGGCGGAAGAGGGCACGACGCCAUCCAGCCACGUCUCCAGAGCUUUGCCUCAGAUGUAGAGCGAACCGUCAGCGGGUCCCACAUAACCGACUCCUAUCAGAAGAACA